GGAGGGGUCUCCUAACGGUAUGGAAAUGCUCUCGAAAAGCAUCGCUCUUUAUGGGCUUGUGGGUUCGAAUCCCACCCCCUCCG
Molecule: transfer RNA, 83 nt
Filed under: Nanobdellota archaeon
Lineage: Archaea; Nanobdellati; Nanobdellota
Description: tRNA-Ser
Rfam family: tRNA
About the family: Transfer RNA (tRNA) molecules are approximately 80 nucleotides in length. Their secondary structure includes four short double-helical elements and three loops (D, anti-codon, and T loops). Further hydrogen bonds mediate the characteristic L-shaped molecular structure. tRNAs have two regions of fundamental functional importance: the anti-codon, which is responsible for specific mRNA codon recognition, and the 3' end, to which the tRNAs corresponding amino acid is attached (by aminoacyl-tRNA synthetases). tRNAs cope with the degeneracy of the genetic code in two manners: having more than one tRNA (with a specific anti-codon) for a particular amino acid; and 'wobble' base-pairing, i.e. permitting non-standard base-pairing at the 3rd anti-codon position.
Source: RNAcentral